UACGAAGGGGGCUAGCGUUGUUCGGAAUUACUGGGCGUAAAGGGCGCGUAGGCGGCUUGUACAGUCAGAUGUGAAAUUCCUGGGCUCAACCUGGGGGCUGCAUUUGAUACGUAUGGGCUUGAGUGGGGAAGAGGGUCGUGGAAUUCCCAGUGUAGAGGUGAAAUUCGUAGAUAUUGGGAAGAACACCGGUGGCGAAGGCGGCGACCUGGUCCUUGACUGACGCUGAGGCGCGAAAGCGUGGGGAGCGAACAGG
Molecule: ribosomal RNA, 253 nt
Filed under: uncultured bacterium
Lineage: Bacteria
Description: partial 16S ribosomal RNA
Rfam family: Bacterial small subunit ribosomal RNA
Source: RNAcentral